GUGAGGAAUUUUCCGCAAUGGGCGAAAGCCUGACGGAGCAAUGCCGCGUGAAGGAUGAAGGCCUAUGGGUUGUAAACUUCUUUUCUCAGAAAAGAAUUAUGACGGUAUCUGAGGAAUAAGCAUCGGCUAACUCUGUGCCAGCAGCCGCGGUAAGACAGAGGAUGCAAGCGUUAUCCGGAAUGAUUGGGCGUAAAGCGUCUGUAGGUUGUUUAAAAAGUAUUCUGUCAAAGAUUAGGGCUUAACCCUAGAUAGGCAGAAUAAACUUUUAAGCUAGAGUUUGGUAGAGGCAGAGGGAAUUCCCGGUGGAGCGGUGAAAUGCGUAGAUAUCGGGAGGAACACGAAAUGCGAAGGCACUCUGCUGGGCCAAUACUAACACUGAGAGACGAAAGCGAGGGGAGCAAAUGGGAUUAGAUACCCCGGUAGUCC
This 426-nucleotide ribosomal RNA is filed under the name uncultured bacterium. RNAcentral's name for it is "partial 16S ribosomal RNA". It matches the Rfam family "Bacterial small subunit ribosomal RNA", at positions 354 to 796 of the family's 1533-position model. The record is from RNAcentral.